This 524-nucleotide ribosomal RNA is filed under the name Boophis andohahela. RNAcentral describes it as "partial 12S ribosomal RNA". The stretch from base 1 to 451 matches the Rfam family "Bacterial small subunit ribosomal RNA", at positions 892 to 1533 of the family's 1533-position model. Lineage: Eukaryota; Metazoa; Chordata; Amphibia; Anura; Mantellidae. The record is from RNAcentral.
GCUUAAAAUCCAAAGGACUUGACGGUGUCCCAUCCCACUAGAGGAGCCUGUUCUAUAAUCGAUAACCCCCGCUAUACCUCACCAUUUCUCGCUUCCACGCAGCCUGUAUACCUCCGUCGCAAGCUCGCCACAUGAGUGACUCAUAGCAAGCUUAAUGACUUUUACGCCAACACGUCAGGUCAAGGUGCAGCCUAUGAAAUGGAAAGCAAUGGGCUACAAUUUCUAAAUUAGAACAAACGAACAAUCAUCUGAAACUAUGAUCUUAAAGGUGGAUUUAGUAGUAAAAGGGGAAAAUAGUGCCCCCUUUAACAGCGGCCCUGGGACGCGUACAAACCGCCCGUCACCCUCUUCAACAGCUUCUUAUCUGUUUAUAACACUCCCCCAUGCCACAAGAAGAGGCAAGUCGUAACACGGUAAGUGUACUGGAAAGUGCACUUGGAUAAACAAAAUGUAGCUUAGUAAAGCCUUCCGCUUACACCGGAAAGACAUCCGUUAAAACCAGAUCAUUUUGAGCCACAACUCUA